Molecule: ribosomal RNA, 1434 nt
Filed under: Akkermansia sp. MC_55
Lineage: Bacteria; Pseudomonadati; Verrucomicrobiota; Verrucomicrobiia; Verrucomicrobiales; Akkermansiaceae
Description: bacterial SSU rRNA
Rfam family: Bacterial small subunit ribosomal RNA
Source: RNAcentral
AACGAACGCUGGCGGCGUGGAUAAGACAUGCAAGUCGAACGAGAGAAUUGCUAGCUUGCUAAUAAUUCUCUAGUGGCGCACGGGUGAGUAACACGUGAGUAACCUGCCCCCGAGAGCGGGAUAGCCCUGGGAAACUGGGAUUAAUACCGCAUAGUAUCGAAAGAUUAAAGCAGCAAUGCGCUUGGGGAUGGGCUCGCGGCCUAUUAGUUAGUUGGUGAGGUAACGGCUCACCAAGGCGAUGACGGGUAGCCGGUCUGAGAGGAUGUCCGGCCACACUGGAACUGAGACACGGUCCAGACACCUACGGGUGGCAGCAGUCGAGAAUCAUUCACAAUGGGGGAAACCCUGAUGGUGCGACGCCGCGUGGGGGAAUGAAGGUCUUCGGAUUGUAAACCCCUGUCAUGUGGGAGCAAAUUAAAAAGAUAGUACCACAAGAGGAAGAGACGGCUAACUCUGUGCCAGCAGCCGCGGUAAUACAGAGGUCUCAAGCGUUGUUCGGAAUCACUGGGCGUAAAGCGUGCGUAGGCUGUUUCGUAAGUCGUGUGUGAAAGGCGCGGGCUCAACCCGCGGACGGCACAUGAUACUGCGAGACUAGAGUAAUGGAGGGGGAACCGGAAUUCUCGGUGUAGCAGUGAAAUGCGUAGAUAUCGAGAGGAACACUCGUGGCGAAGGCGGGUUCCUGGACAUUAACUGACGCUGAGGCACGAAGGCCAGGGGAGCGAAAGGGAUUAGAUACCCCUGUAGUCCUGGCAGUAAACGGUGCACGCUUGGUGUGCGGGGAAUCGACCCCCUGCGUGCCGGAGCUAACGCGUUAAGCGUGCCGCCUGGGGAGUACGGUCGCAAGAUUAAAACUCAAAGAAAUUGACGGGGACCCGCACAAGCGGUGGAGUAUGUGGCUUAAUUCGAUGCAACGCGAAGAACCUUACCUGGGCUUGACAUGUAAUGAACAACAUGUGAAAGCAUGCGACUCUUCGGAGGCGUUACACAGGUGCUGCAUGGCCGUCGUCAGCUCGUGUCGUGAGAUGUUUGGUUAAGUCCAGCAACGAGCGCAACCCCUGUUGCCAGUUACCAGCACGUGAAGGUGGGGACUCUGGCGAGACUGCCCAGAUCAACUGGGAGGAAGGUGGGGACGACGUCAGGUCAGUAUGGCCCUUAUGCCCAGGGCUGCACACGUACUACAAUGCCCAGUACAGAGGGGGCCGAAGCCGCGAGGCGGAGGAAAUCCUAAAAACUGGGCCCAGUUCGGACUGUAGGCUGCAACCCGCCUACACGAAGCCGGAAUCGCUAGUAAUGGCGCAUCAGCUACGGCGCCGUGAAUACGUUCCCGGGUCUUGUACACACCGCCCGUCACAUCAUGGAAGCUGGUCGCACCCGAAGUAUCUGAAGCCAACCGCAAGGAGGCAGGGUCCUAAGGUGAGACUGGUAACUGGGAUG